CCACAGAGGAAGCAGCAGAUCGGUCUACUCGCCCCUCUUACUCAAUCCUCUACUCGAACCCUUUACUCCAUCAUUGGCGACCAACUCUACAAGACUUGUUGAUCUAUCAAAGCGUCUUUGGAUCCUCCUCAUUCCCCACUCAACCAGACAUCUGAGCAUACGGAUAGGAGAGGAAGAAGCAUCCACUCGACCAAUUGAUCA
RNAcentral lists this small RNA (201 nucleotides) under Arabidopsis thaliana (thale cress). RNAcentral's name for it is "ATSL202370". The record is from RNAcentral. Lineage: Eukaryota; Viridiplantae; Streptophyta; Magnoliopsida; Brassicales; Brassicaceae.